UACGGAGGGUGCAAGCGUUAUCCGGAUUCACUGGGUUUAAAGGGAGCGUAGGUGGGUUGGUAAGUCAGUGGUGAAAUCCCCGAGCUUAACUUGGAAACUGCCGUUGAUACUAUCAUUCUUGAAUAUCGUGGAGGUAAGCGGAAUAUGUCAUGUAGCGGUGAAAUGCUUAGAUAUGACAUAGAACACCGAUUGCGAAGGCAGCUUGCUACACGAUCAUUGACACUGAGGCACGAAAGCGUGGGGAUCAAACAGG
Molecule: ribosomal RNA, 253 nt
Filed under: uncultured bacterium
Lineage: Bacteria
Description: partial 16S ribosomal RNA
Rfam family: Bacterial small subunit ribosomal RNA
Source: RNAcentral